UGAAUACGAGACGCUAAGGCGUCGAAGUAGUGUAUGUCAUACUUCCAAGAAAAGCUCGCACUGUCAUAGAUAAAAAACGCCUGUACCAUAACCGACACAGGUGGGUAGGUAGAGUAUACUAAGGGGCGCAAGAUAACUCUCUCUAAGGAACUCGGCAAAAUAACUCCGUAACUUCGGGAGAAGGAGUGCCUUAUUCGUAAGGUUGCAAUAACAAGAUCCAAGCAACUGUUUAUCAAAAACACAGGUCUCCGCUAAGUCGUAAGACGAUGUAUGGGGGCUGACGCCUGCCCAGUGCCAGAAGGUUAAAGAAGUUGGUUAGCAAUUGCGAAGCUGAUAACUGAAGCCCUGGUGAACGGCGGCCGUAACAAUAACGGUCCUAAGGUAGCGAAAUUCCUUGUCGGGUAAGUUCCGACCCGCACGAAAGGCGUAAUGAUUUGGAUACUGUCUCGGAGAGGGGCUCGGUGAAAUAGACUUGUCUGUGAAGAUGCGGACUACCUGCACCAGGACAGAAAGACCCUAUGAAGCUUUACUGUAACUUGAAAUUGAAAUUGGACUUUAUUCGCGCAGUAUAGGUGGGAGGCGUUGAUUAUAAUCUUGUGGGAUUAUUGGAGCCAUCAGUGAGAUACCACUCUUGUAAUGUUAGAUUUCUAACUUUGAAUCAUUAUCUGGUCAAAGAACAGUUUCAGGCGGGCAGUUUGACUGGGGCGGUCGCCUCCUAAACGGUAACGGAGGCGUACAAAGGUUUCCUCUGAACGGUUAGAAAUCGUAUCUAGAGUGUAAAGGCAUAAGGAAGCUUGACUGUGAGACCUACAAGUCGAGCAGGGACGAAAGUCGGUCUUAGUGAUCUGACGGUACUGAGUGGAAAGGCCGUCACUCAACGGAUAAAAGUUACUCUAAGGAUAACAGGCUGAUCUCCCCCAAGAGUUCACAUCGACGGGGAGGUUUGGCACCUCGAUGUCGGCUCAUCGCAUCCUGGGGCGGUAGUACGUCCCAAGGGUUGGGCUGUUCGCCCAUGAAAGCGGUACGCGAGCUGGGUUCAGAACGUCGUGAGACAGUUCGGUCCAUAUCCGGUGUAGGCGUUAGAAUAUUGAGAGGAGCCUUCUUUAGUACGAGAGGACCGAGAAGGACAUACCUCUGGUGUACCAGUUAUCGUGCCAACGGUAAACGCUGGGUAGCUACGUAUGGAGUGGAUAACCGCUGAAAGCAUCUAAGUGGGAAGCCCACCUCAAGAUAAGUAUUCUCA
RNAcentral lists this ribosomal RNA (1243 nucleotides) under metagenome. Its description in RNAcentral is "bacterial LSU rRNA". It matches the Rfam family "Bacterial large subunit ribosomal RNA", at positions 1564 to 2816 of the family's 2925-position model. The record is from RNAcentral.